This 66-nucleotide transfer RNA is filed under the name Conwentzia sinica. RNAcentral's name for it is "tRNA-Ser". Lineage: Eukaryota; Metazoa; Arthropoda; Insecta; Neuroptera; Coniopterygidae. The record is from RNAcentral.
AAUUAAUGAGCUUGAACAAGCAUAUACUUUGAAAGUAUAAGAUAGAAAACAAUUUUCUAUUAAUUU